Myotis davidii is the source of this 831-nucleotide long non-coding RNA. RefSeq lists it as uncharacterized. The record is from RefSeq and is a predicted model, not a curated record. Lineage: Eukaryota; Metazoa; Chordata; Mammalia; Chiroptera; Vespertilionidae. The transcript is spliced from 3 exons.
UCCAACCUUAAGCCGCUUCCCUUCAGUUCCGACUGUACCCUCCCAAUCGCCUAAGGCGCGGAGACAAGCAAAAAGAACUAAGAUCCGACAGGGGGAACCUCUUUGCUUUAAGAGGCGGGACUAAGGCUAGCUGAAGACCAAUGAGAAACCGAGGAAAGACAUACAGGACCUGUAGCCUAUAGGAAAAAUGGGUGGAACUUGAAGCGUGCGCGCGCAAUCAUACUGCGCAUGACUGGCAAAGAAAGUUUUAGAGUUCUGGAACAAUCUGGAAGAAUCGAUCCUCGUAUUGAAAUCCAACAUCUCCGUAGUACUCCUAUGAUAACUCACUGUUUGAAUUUGCUCACUAUUUGAAUUUGCACUAUUCAGUGGAAAGGCUCAUCCAGUUCUCCCAUUCUUAUAGACCUAAAAUGAAGAUUAGUCGACUGCGCAAUUCACCACCUUCCACAGCCGAUUCGCUAACAGUUAAAAUAUAUUGAAUGGUGACAGACAACGAGCAAGUUCUAACUGCCGCUUUUCUCUGACUACCUUCUCUGCUCCGAACUCCUCUCCAACGGCUCUUCUGGACGUGUCUCCUACUUAAAGCCGCAGUACUCUCACGUGAUGUGGAUCGUUACUUGUAUGCUAAUGAGUCUCAACGACACAUCUCGAGCCCCCACCUCCGUCCACUCUGCACUCCGAUUCCACAUAUGGCUAUGAACACCACAAGACACUACAGGCUUCUCAAACUUGUAGAGUCCAGAAUUUAAACUCAUUAUUUCCUCUGUACUAACAAUCUUAUGUAUUUUUUCUGUCAUUUAUGCUUGUAUUCUUGGGAUAUUUUUGAUUCCCCCU